ACGAAGCCUUCGAUUUUAUCGAUGUCAAGAAUAUUGCGGACCGUAGGCUGUUAUUGAGUCUUAUUAGGACUUCCAACGUGUUAAUAUUAAAUCUACUUGUUUCGUGACUUCGUUAGUUAGGAUCAAGACGCGUUCAAACAAAUGAGAGAGACAUUUGAAAUCCUUACAGCGAGAAAGCAAUUAAAUUGGCGCCCCGCUGCUCUCUUCUUUCGUGGAAUCAGCCGGUGAGAAAGCGGUAAAAUUCGAUUAUUACCGAGCUUAAUGGCGCGGCUUAAACAUCUUUAGUUCAUCUUUGCCAAUGUCCAUCGCGAUUUUCGGCUUCACACUCGAAUGCUUGGCAAUUUUGUGAUCGUCAACGACUCGAAUGGAACGGCAGUUUUCACUGCCACGCAUUUGCGACGAGUUCCUUUUAAAAGCUAUAGUUUCGGGGUGCCUACUGUCAACAAGAAGAUGAAGAGGAUCAACGCUCUCUGUUGUUUCACGCGCCGCGCCGCCGAUGACUUGGGGACACUCGGGCUCACGGUGAAGAGCAAUAACAGUUUUCUAGAAGGAUCUGAUCAUGGAACGCUGGCAGGCUGAUAAAUCCUCUGGCAACAGAACUGACAAUGAGUGAAAAACCUCAGCACUUACCUCACAAUCUUCGCGAGAUUCCCAUCGUCCAAGAUGGAUAUAUCGUCGAAUUUCGAGAUACGUAUUAUUUAACAAGUAGAAGAUAGAAAUUAGUCAAUUAAA
Molecule: long non-coding RNA, 732 nt
Organism: Bombus pascuorum
Lineage: Eukaryota; Metazoa; Arthropoda; Insecta; Hymenoptera; Apidae
Exons: 3
Source: RefSeq, a predicted model, not a curated record